Molecule: long non-coding RNA, 339 nt
Filed under: Gallus gallus (chicken)
Lineage: Eukaryota; Metazoa; Chordata; Aves; Galliformes; Phasianidae
Description: long non-coding RNA NONGGAT004239
Source: RNAcentral
CAGCAAGACCCGAAAAGCUGCCGGGCUGCGCAGCGGGCCGCUGGCGGGCGGGUCGUCCGCCGUUGUAAAUCGCUGCGGAGCGGCGUCGGCGUGGUCAGCAGAGCGGUUUGGUCAGGCCGUGGUCUGGAGAGGCAGCUCCUCCCUUAAAAUGAAGAGCAAGUUGGAGUAAGUUUACGCUCGUUACAUAACGUGUCCAGAUCCCUCUGACCUACGGGACCGGCCGCCUAUUCGAUCUCGUAGGGGGGCGUGUGCGUGGGUGCGUGCACUCACCCACACCAAAACGUUACCUGUGUGAGAGGAGACUGCGGGAAUGACAGGGGAGGGAACGCAGUUUCUCAC